Picea glauca (white spruce) is the source of this 70-nucleotide non-coding RNA. The record is from Rfam. Lineage: Eukaryota; Viridiplantae; Streptophyta; Pinopsida; Pinales; Pinaceae.
GCCUGUAGUACAGUGGUGAGUAUUCCCGCAUGUCACGCGGGUGACCCGGGUUCGUUCCCCGACAACGGCA